UCUACGGGAGGCAGCAGUGGGGAAUUUUGGACAAUGGGGGAAACCCUGAUCCAGCCAUCCCGCGUGUAUGAUGAAGGCCUUCGGGUUGUAAAGUACUUUUGGCAGAGAAGAAAAGGCAUCCCCUAAUACGGGAUGCUGCUGACGGUAUCUGCAGAAUAAGCACCGGCUAACUACGUGCCAGCAGCCGCGGUAAUA
This 195-nucleotide ribosomal RNA is filed under the name uncultured bacterium. RNAcentral describes it as "partial 16S ribosomal RNA". It matches the Rfam family "Bacterial small subunit ribosomal RNA", at positions 338 to 525 of the family's 1533-position model. The record is from RNAcentral.